UGUGCAUGAUUGGACCCACUACUUCUUGCAUGCCUUCUGUUGCCCUUUUGGUGCCCCCCAGCCCCUGCAAACACGGGUGAGUCAUUCACACACUACAGAAACAUGUCACCUGCCAACUGACACUUCAAGUCAUUUCUCUUUUUCGUUUAGCGGUGUUAAAGAAGAAGGAAACUUCCAAGAGUGACCUGGCGGACAUGGUCCAAAACCAAGCGAUGGAGCGUGACAACUUGCAAGAAAAAUCAGAGCCAGAAUCAUCUUUAUUGGCCAAGUACCGAUGAAAGACUCGCGCAGAAAAGUGGGGUGAAACCAAGCGUCUUUUUGUGUCGUUCUCGCCAUUGCCGGGUCUAAAUUGGCUGUCAACGUGCACCAACUUGUCGGAUUACAUCACCAUCCUUCAACUAUAAAGUCUACUGCCUUCAGGGGCCACAAGAGGAAGUGACCAACCAGAUUCAGCAGAUGGAGCAGCGGUAGAAAAAGGCUGUUUGUGGCAGAUGACACCCACCUAUCACCCUCUACAGGACUGGAGUGGAACUGUAUCACUUGCAUUAUACACUGUUUCUGCUAGCAGCUAAGCUAUGUCAAAGUGUCCAAAAGUUAAAGGAUGACACACAUCUCCACACCAAAAUUGCGGAGCAUACACUGUUUCUGAUAGCAGCUAACCAGCUAUGUCAAAGUGUCCAAAAGUUGAAGGACGCAUGCAUCUGGACACCAAAAUUGCAGAGUCAUUCCAGGUGCACAAAUGCACUGGUGACGCGAUUCACAGCCUCGUCGCUGAAUGUGGAAGUGAAAGAAAAGUGUCAGUGUGCUGCUGCUGCUGCUGCUGGUUCAACACAUCGCACACAGACGGUGGUGAGCACGGAAUGAAACCGAGGCUGACUCGGCAGAAGAUGAUAUUGUGCAAGUAAUUGCUG
Nerophis lumbriciformis (worm pipefish) is the source of this 911-nucleotide long non-coding RNA. RefSeq lists it as uncharacterized. The record is from RefSeq and is a predicted model, not a curated record. Lineage: Eukaryota; Metazoa; Chordata; Actinopteri; Syngnathiformes; Syngnathidae.